CCCAUCAAUCCCUUUUGAAGGGCCCUACAUUCCUACCAUCCAAAAGAGAAAUAGAUACAGAGAAUUCUCAGUACUAAUAGUUAUAGCCAUUCUCCACUAACCCCACCACAGAUAUUGAAAACAGGAGGACAUCAAUGGAGCUUUUGAAUACUUUGGCUUGCCUUGACCAUAGCACAUAGCAUCAAGUGCCCGUGAUUUUUUCUUCCUUGACAUGAAAAUGACGACUCCUUUGACAAAACUUGAGAAAAGAGAAUGAACAGUUGCACCGAGUGAAUUGAUUUUUAUUUUUUUUUUAUUUUUUUUAUUGUUUUCG
RNAcentral lists this unclassified non-coding RNA (313 nucleotides) under Hevea brasiliensis (rubber tree). Lineage: Eukaryota; Viridiplantae; Streptophyta; Magnoliopsida; Malpighiales; Euphorbiaceae. The record is from RNAcentral.